RNAcentral lists this small nuclear RNA (338 nucleotides) under Octodon degus (degu). RNAcentral describes it as "7SK RNA (ENSODEG00000023089.1)". The stretch from base 1 to 300 matches the Rfam family "7SK RNA". From Rfam's summary of the family: 7SK was discovered as an abundant small nuclear RNA in the mid-70s but a possible function has only recently been suggested. Two independent studies have found that 7SK RNA binds the CDK9/cyclin T complex (known as elongation factor P-TEFb). Lineage: Eukaryota; Metazoa; Chordata; Mammalia; Rodentia; Octodontidae. The record is from RNAcentral.
GGACGUGAGGGCGAUCUGGCUGCGACAUCUGUCACCCCGCUGAUCACCAGGGUUGAUUCAGUUGAUCUGGCUGGCGAGGUGGGUGUCCCCUUCCUCCCUCAACGAUCCAUGUGCGUCCCUCCCAAAGCUGCGCACUCGGUUGAAGAGCACGAUCACCCCCGAUAGAGGAGGACCGUUCCUCGGUCAAGGGUAUAUGAGUAGCAGCGCUCCCCUGCUAGGACCUCCCCCCAAGCUCUCAAGAAUAAAUUCCACAUAAUAAAAAUUACAGAUGAUGGGUCCUGCAGGGUCUUCCAUCUGUGUCCAAAGAACUGAGAGCAUGGCGUGCUCUGCUGUGAAGU